AGAGUUUGAUCCUGGCUCAGGACGAACGCUGGCGGCGUGCUUAACACAUGCAAGUCACGGGGGCCCGCAAGGGCAACCGGCGAACGGGUGCGUAACACGUGAGCAACCUGCCUAUCUGCGGGGGAUAGCCGGCCCAACGGCCGGGUAAUACCGCAUACGUUCACGAGGGGACAUCCCCUUGUGAGGAAAACUCCGGUGCAGAUAGAGGGGCUCGCGGCCUAUCAGCUAGUUGGUGAGGUAACGGCUCACCAAGGCGACGACGGGUAGCUGGUCUGAGAGGAUGGCCAGCCACAUUGGGACUGCGACACGGCCCAGACUCCUACGGGAGGCAGCAGUGGGGAAUAUUGCGCAAUGGACGAAAGUCUGACGCAGCGACGCCGCGUGUGGGAUGAAGCUCUUCGGGGUGUAAACCACUGUUGCCAGGGAAGAAUCUCCCGAUUCAUCGGGAUUGACGGUACCUGGUGAGGAAGCACCGGCUAACUCUGUGCCAGCAGCCGCGGUAAUACAGAGGGUGCGAGCGUUGUCCGGAAUCACUGGGCGUAAAGGGCGCGUAGGUGGCUGGGUAAGUGUGCGGUGAAAGUCCGGGGCUCAACCCCGGAUCGGCCGUGCAGACUGCUUGGCUUGAGCAUAGUAGAGGCAGGUGGAAUUCCGGGUGUAGCGGUGGAAUGCGUAGAGAUCCGGAAGAACACCGGUGGCGAAGGCGGCCUGCUGGGCUACUGCUGACACUGAGGCGCGACGGCGUGGGGAGCAAACAGGAUUAGAUACCCUGGUAGUCCACGCCGUAAACGAUGGGUACUAGGUGUCUGGGGGAGCGACCCCCUGGGUGCCGGCGCUAACGCAUGAAGUACCCCGCCUGGGGAGUACGGCCGCAAGGCUGAAACUCAAAGGAAUUGACGGGGGCCCGCACAAGCGGUGGAGCAUGUGGUUUAAUUCGACGCAACGCGAAGAACCUUACCUGGGCUUGACAUGCUGGAGAAAGCUCGCAGAAACGUGAGCCCCUCUUCGGAGUUCCAGCACAGAUGCUACAUGGCUGUCGUCAGCUCGUGUCGUGAGAUGUUGGGUUAAGUCCCGCAACGAGCGCAACCC
This 1086-nucleotide ribosomal RNA is filed under the name uncultured bacterium. RNAcentral's name for it is "bacterial SSU rRNA". It matches the Rfam family "Bacterial small subunit ribosomal RNA", at positions 8 to 1104 of the family's 1533-position model. The record is from RNAcentral.